AUACGUAGGGGACGAGCGUUGUCCGGAAUUACUGGGCGUAAAGGGCGCGCAGGCGGAUAUUUAAGUCAGCUGUAAAAGGCAUGAGCUCAACUCAUGUAUGCGGUUGAAACUGGGUAUCUAGAGUGCUGGAGAGGUAGGCGGAAUACCCGGUGUAGCGGUGAAAUGCGUAGAUAUCGGGAAGAACACCAGUGGCGAAGGCGGCUUACUGGCCAGAAACUGACUCUGAUGCGCGAAAGCCAGGGGAGCGAACGGGAUUAGAUACCCCGGUAGUCCUGGCCGUAAACGAUGAAUGCUAGGUGUGGGUGUCGAGAGGCAUCCGUGCCGGAGUUAACGCGAUAAGCAUUCCGCCUGGGGAGUACGAUCGCAAGAUUGAAACUCAAAUGAAUUGACGGGG
RNAcentral lists this ribosomal RNA (394 nucleotides) under uncultured bacterium. RNAcentral describes it as "partial 16S ribosomal RNA". It matches the Rfam family "Bacterial small subunit ribosomal RNA", at positions 523 to 918 of the family's 1533-position model. The record is from RNAcentral.